AGUCGAACGGCAGCGCGAGAGAGCUUGCUCUCUUGGCGGCGAGUGGCGGACGGGUGAGUAAUGCAUCGGGAUCUACCCUGUCGUGGGGGAUAACUUGGGGAAACCCAAGCUAAUACCGCAUACGACCUACGGGUGAAAGCGGGGGCUCCUUUUAGGACCUCGCGCGAUUGGAUGAACCGAUGUUCGAUUAGCUUGUUGGUAGGGUAACGGCCUACCAAGGCGACGAUCGAUAGCUGGUCUGAGAGGAUGAUCAGCCACACUGGGACUGAGACACGGCCCAGACUCCUACGGGAGGCAGCAGUGGGGAAUAUUGGACAAUGGGCGAAAGCCUGAUCCAGCAAUGCCGCGUGUGAAGAAGGCCCUCGGGUUGUAAAGCACUUUUAUCAGGAGCGAAAUCUGCGUGGUUAAUACCCGCGUAGUCUGACGGUACCUGAGGAAUAAGCACCGGCUAACUCCGUGCCAGCAGCCGCGGUAA
This 475-nucleotide ribosomal RNA is filed under the name uncultured Lysobacteraceae bacterium. RNAcentral's name for it is "bacterial SSU rRNA". It matches the Rfam family "Bacterial small subunit ribosomal RNA", at positions 60 to 523 of the family's 1533-position model. Lineage: Bacteria; Pseudomonadati; Pseudomonadota; Gammaproteobacteria; Lysobacterales; Lysobacteraceae. The record is from RNAcentral.